Molecule: ribosomal RNA, 497 nt
Filed under: uncultured bacterium
Lineage: Bacteria
Description: partial 16S ribosomal RNA
Rfam family: Bacterial small subunit ribosomal RNA
Source: RNAcentral
GACGAACGCUGGCGGCGUGCCUAAUACAUGCAAGUUGAGCGCUGAAGGUUGGUACUUGUACCAACUGGAUGAGCAGCGAACGGGUGAGUAACGCGUGGGGAAUCUGCCUUUGAGCGGGGGACAACAUUUGGAAACGAAUGCUAAUACCGCAUAAAAACUUUAAACACAAGUUUUAAGUUUGAAAGAUGCAAUUGCAUCACUCAAAGAUGAUCCCGCGUUGUAUUAGCUAGUUGGUGAGGUAAAGGCUCACCAAGGCGAUGAUACAUAGCCGACCUGAGAGGGUGAUCGGCCACAUUGGGACUGAGACACGGCCCAAACUCCUACGGGAGGCAGCAGUAGGGAAUCUUCGGCAAUAGACGAAAGUCUGACCGAGCAACGCCGCGUGAGUGAAGAAGGUUUUCGGAUCGUAAAACUCUGUUGGUAGGGAAGAACGUUGGUGAGAGUGGAAAGCUCAUCAAGUGACGGUAACUACCCAGAAAGGGACGGCUAACUACGUG